RNAcentral lists this long non-coding RNA (753 nucleotides) under Phasianus colchicus (ring-necked pheasant). RNAcentral describes it as "lncRNA (ENSPCLG00000004942.1)". The record is from RNAcentral. Lineage: Eukaryota; Metazoa; Chordata; Aves; Galliformes; Phasianidae.
GGCAGAUUUGCAUAAUGUGGGAACCUCAGCUCAUAGGUGACAGGUGUUUCUGAUUACACCAGAUGAGAUGUGAAGUGCUGAAGGUGUUAGUUGUGUUGUUUUUUUCUUGGCCUGAUAAGACUGUUAGCUAUGGAGUAGAAGCAAAGCUGUAGUACUAAGGGUGAAAAGAAGAUGGAAAAGCUCCUGAUGAAGAAGAAAUAUAGCUGGAUGAGGAUUAUCUCCAAAGGUUGACCUAUGGACUUUGCCAAAAAAAAUUUUCCAUGUGAACUUGAGUUUGCAAGGCCCUUUUUUCUUUCCCAAAAACUCUGCGUUCUGAUAAAGGACAUCUGUGACAAGAUGGAACUUGGCACCAGUAACUCAUGUACUAUGGGUGAAGCAUGCUCAGAAGAGGUAGUCCUGCGUCUUGUAAAUGGCUCUGGGUGAAUCCAAAGAACUGCAUGUGAUUUGUCAGGCGUUUUUAAGAUAAAUGGUAAAACUGAACUGGAAAUCCAUCUGGCCAGCUGCCUGAUCUAAUGAAUAACCCCACUUUGGCUCCUGCAAUGUAAGCAGAAAGAGUUCUCUCCCGGCCGCUUUCGUCUGUCAUGAAUCUACAAGACAGCCGACAUAAUAUCUGGGCGACAACAGCGUGCUAACAGUGCAGUGACUUCCAUUUUCUUUGCUUUCUAUUGAUUUUCACUUAAUAACUGGCGAAAUACUAAACGUCCGCCCUGAGUACCUAAUAAAUCCUGCCUGAGCUUUUUAUUGAGGAGAAUU